UGUUUCGGCUAGGGGGCCAUCCCGGCUUACCAACCCGAUGCAAACUGCGAAUACCGGAGAAUGUUAUCACGGGAGACACACGGCGGGUGCUAACGUCCGUCGUGAAGAGGGAAACAACCCAGACCGCCAGCUAAGGUCCCAAAGUCAUGGUUAAGUGGGAAACGAUGUGGGAAGGCCCAGACAGCCAGGAUGUUGGCUUAGAAGCAGCCAUCAUUUAAAGAAAGCGUAAUAGCUCACUGGUCGAGUCGGCCUGCGCGGAAGAUGUAACGGGGCUAAACCAUGCACCGAAGCUGCGGCAGCGACACUGUGUGUUGUUGGGUAGGGGAGCGUUCUGUAAGCCUGUGAAGGUGGCCUGUGAGGGUUGCUGGAGGUAUCAGAAGUGCGAAUGCUGACAUAAGUAACGAUAAAGCGGGUGAAAAGCCCGCUCGCCGGAAGACCAAGGGUUCCUGUCCAACGUUAAUCGGGGCAGGGUGAGUCGACCCCUAAGGCGAGGCCGAAAGGCGUAGUCGAUGGGAAACGGGUUAAUAUUCCCGUACUUGGUGUUACUGCGAAGGGGGGACGGAGAAGGCUAUGUUGGCCGGGCGACGGUUGUCCCGGUUUAAGCGUGUAGGUGUGUGUUCCAGGUAAAUCCGGUUCACUUUAACACUGAGGCGUGAUGACGAGGCACUACGGUGCUGAAGCAACAAAUGCCCUGCUUCCAGGAAAAGCCUCUAAGCAUCAGGUAACAUCAAAUCGUACCCCAAACCGACACAGGUGGUCAGGUAGAGAAUACCAAGGCGCUUGAGAGAACUCGGGUGAAGGAACUAGGCAAAAUGGUGCCGUAACUUCGGGAGAAGGCACGCUGACACGUAGGUGAAGUGAUUUACUCAUGGAGCUGAAGUCAGUCGAAGAUACCAGCUGGCUGCAACUGUUUAUUAAAAACACAGCACUGUGCAAACACGAAAGUGGACGUAUACGGUGUGACGCCUGCCCGGUGCCGGAAGGUUAAUUGAUGGGGUCAGCGCAAGCGAAGCUCCUGAUCGAAGCCCCGGUAAACGGCGGCCGUAACUAUAACGGUCCUAAGGUAGCGAAAUUCCUUGUCGGGUAAGUUCCGACCUGCACGAAUGGCGUAAUGAUGGCCAGGCUGUCUCCACCCGAGACUCAGUGAAAUUGAACUCGCUGUGAAGAUGCAGUGUACCCGCGGCAAGACGGAAAGACCCCGUGAACCUUUACUAUAGCUUGACACUGAACAUUGAGCCUUGAUGUGUAG
This 1249-nucleotide ribosomal RNA is filed under the name Salmonella enterica subsp. enterica serovar Newport. RNAcentral's name for it is "partial 23S ribosomal RNA". It matches the Rfam family "Bacterial large subunit ribosomal RNA", at positions 911 to 2141 of the family's 2925-position model. The record is from RNAcentral. Lineage: Bacteria; Pseudomonadati; Pseudomonadota; Gammaproteobacteria; Enterobacterales; Enterobacteriaceae.